UGCCCUCAGUGGAAGAGUUGACCUCUUCUCCAACACCAUCUAUGAUGAGCCUGUCCUGCACUGAAGCCUACAGUAUAUCCACACCUCCACUAAAGUCAAGCCUCUGAACACCUCAACUCAUCCUAUCACUGCUGUAAUCCCGUCCCAACACUGACAUACUGUGAGGACAAGCAGAGUUUCCUGCAAGACCGUGAGGAUGAUGGAGAUACGGCAGCAGGAGGACAAUUGCUUCACUUACUACAGAUCCUGGAUGUGCAGAAGGUGGUUGUGUCGCUGGUAUGGAGGGAUUCUGCUGGGUCCAGACCAUUUCAAACACAUCAACAACUCUGCCAGAAACAUCCUGGUCCAGGAGGGAUACACAUCCUCUGCAGUGUCGCCCACCUUUGACCCCUGCCUGUACUGACUCCGAGCCCGUCUGCCUGACCACUCUGCCUGCCCCUGACCCUGAGCCUGACUGCCGCCCGUACCGUUGCCCCACCUCUGGUUUACUGACCCCUGCCUACCUUGACCUGUCUA
Molecule: long non-coding RNA, 516 nt
Organism: Oncorhynchus gorbuscha (pink salmon)
Lineage: Eukaryota; Metazoa; Chordata; Actinopteri; Salmoniformes; Salmonidae
Exons: 4
Source: RefSeq, a predicted model, not a curated record